Loxodonta africana (African savanna elephant) is the source of this 70-nucleotide transfer RNA. It matches the Rfam family "tRNA". From Rfam's summary of the family: Transfer RNA (tRNA) molecules are approximately 80 nucleotides in length. Their secondary structure includes four short double-helical elements and three loops (D, anti-codon, and T loops). Further hydrogen bonds mediate the characteristic L-shaped molecular structure. tRNAs have two regions of fundamental functional importance: the anti-codon, which is responsible for specific mRNA codon recognition, and the 3' end, to which the tRNAs corresponding amino acid is attached (by aminoacyl-tRNA synthetases). tRNAs cope with the degeneracy of the genetic code in two manners: having more than one tRNA (with a specific anti-codon) for a particular amino acid; and 'wobble' base-pairing, i.e. permitting non-standard base-pairing at the 3rd anti-codon position. The record is from Rfam. Lineage: Eukaryota; Metazoa; Chordata; Mammalia; Proboscidea; Elephantidae.
GGAUCCAUGGUGUAAUGGUGAGCACGCUGGACUCUGAAUCUGCAACCGAGUUCAAAUCUCAAUGGGACCU